RNAcentral lists this unclassified non-coding RNA (522 nucleotides) under Hevea brasiliensis (rubber tree). The record is from RNAcentral. Lineage: Eukaryota; Viridiplantae; Streptophyta; Magnoliopsida; Malpighiales; Euphorbiaceae.
AGUGCUGUAGCAUAUUCUUCCGGUGACCCAAGGGGAACAAGUCUGGAUUUUGGUAUACCAAUUUCCUCCAAAUACCUUUCUGCAAAAGAACCAACUUGGUACCCAAUUGGUUCAUCAGUUUCUUUCAAGCUCUCAAUACCUUUAAUAGGAGAAUAUAAUUGUUGCACAGUGAGGAUGGAGGUCAAACUUGCUGUGUAACUUGAAUUUAUUAUCAAAACGACAAAGAGCCAUAUGAUCAGCACCAUGCGACCAAGCGUACUUACAGUAUUCUCUCUGUGGGCAAAAAAGAGAGUUGAAAGGCUGAACCAUAGAAUGGUUAUCAACUGCUGUUUGGGAGGCCCACGAAAUUCAUCAUUGAUUCGGUGCUCCAAAAUCCACACUACCAUCCCAACAAAGAGAAAGAAAAUAGUGAUAACUCCCCACAUUUGAGCAGAAAAGGGUCUUAGGAAGGCCCAGCCACCGGAAUUUAGCUUUUCGAAUGGGGCCACAACAACAAGUCCAGAUGCGGCAUAUGGCUGUGUG